CCUACGGGAGGCAGCAGUGAGGAAUAUUGGUCAAUGGGCGAUAGCCUGAACCAGCCAAGUCGCGUGAAGGAUGACUGACCUAUGGUUUGUAAACUUCUUUUAUAUGGGAAUAAAGUGAGGUAUGUGUUCUUCUUUGCAUGUACCUUAUGAAUAAGGAUCGGCUAACUCCGUGCCAGCAGCCGCGGUAAUACGGAGGAUCCGAGCGUUAUCCGGAUUUAUUGGGUUUAAAGGGCGCGUAGGUGGUUUGUUAAGUCAGCUGUGAAAGUUUGUGGCUCAACCAUAAAAUUGCAGUUAAUACUGGUUGACUUGAGUAUAUUUGAGGUAGGCGGAAUGCGUGGUGUAGCGGUGAAAUGCUUAGAUAUCACGAAGAACUCCGAUUGCGAAGGCAGCUUGCUGGACUGUAACUGACGCUGAAGCACGAAAGCGUGGGGAUCAAACAGGAUUAGAUACCCCUGUAGUC
This 460-nucleotide ribosomal RNA is filed under the name uncultured bacterium. Its description in RNAcentral is "partial 16S ribosomal RNA". It matches the Rfam family "Bacterial small subunit ribosomal RNA", at positions 338 to 795 of the family's 1533-position model. The record is from RNAcentral.